AUUGAACGCUGGCGGCAGGCCUAACACAUGCAAGUCGAACGAGUGGCGGACGGGUGAGUAAUGUCUGGGAAACUGCCCGAUGGAGGGGGAUAACUACUGGAAACGGUAGCUAAUACCGCAUACCAUCGGAUGUGCCCAGAUGGGCUUAGCUAGUAGGGGGGGUAAAGGGCCACCUAGGCGACGAUCCCUAGCUGGUCUGAGAGGAUGACAGGCCACACGGGAACUGAGACACGGUCCAGACGCCUACGUGAGGCAGCAGAGGGGAAUAUUGCACAAUGGGCGGAAGCCUGAUGCAGUCAUGGCGCGUGUAUGAAGAAGGCCUUCGGGUUGUAAAGAACUUUCAGCGGGGGGGCGUUACCCGCAGAAGAAGCACCGGCUAACUCCGUGCCAGCCGCCGCGGUAAUAC
RNAcentral lists this ribosomal RNA (406 nucleotides) under uncultured bacterium. Its description in RNAcentral is "partial 16S ribosomal RNA". It matches the Rfam family "Bacterial small subunit ribosomal RNA", at positions 29 to 526 of the family's 1533-position model. The record is from RNAcentral.